CUUAGAAGCAGCCACCUUUAAAGAGUGCGUAAUAGCUCACUGGUCAAGUGGUCCUGCGCCGAAAAUUCAACGGGGCUAAAGCCUGGUACCGAAGCUGCGGAGUGGUCUUUGGACCACUGGUAGGGGAGCGUUCCGUCGAGCGUAGAAGCCUGACCGUGAGGACAGGUGGAGCGGACGGAAGUGCGAAUGCCGGCAUGAGUAGCGAAAAACGCGUGAGAAACGUGUUCGCCGUAAGUCUAAGGUUUCCGACGGAAGGUUAAUCCGCGUCGGGUUAGUCGGGCCUAAGCCGAGGCCGAGAGGCGUAGGCGAUGGACAUCCGGUUAAUAUUCCGGAACUACGUCGAGUCGAUAAAGACGCAAUGGGGGACGCAGGAGGGUAGGUCAGCCUGUUACUGGAUUCAGGUGCUAAACCGGUAGGGAGAUGAGGGUCGUAGGCAAAUCCGCGACCUGAUCCUGAGAGGUGACGGCGGGCCCCGCGAGGGGCCAGA
This 487-nucleotide ribosomal RNA is filed under the name uncultured bacterium. RNAcentral describes it as "bacterial LSU rRNA". It matches the Rfam family "Bacterial large subunit ribosomal RNA", at positions 1105 to 1590 of the family's 2925-position model. The record is from RNAcentral.